CCACACUAGGACUGAGAUACGGCCCAGACUCGUACGGGAGGCAGCAGUGGGGAAUAUUGGACAAUGGGGGAAACCCUGAUCCAGCCGUGCCGCGUGUGUGAUGAAGGCCUUCGGGUUGUAAAGCACUUUCGCACGUGACGAUGAUGACGGUAACGUGAGAAGAAGCCCCGGCUAACUUCGUGCCAGCAGCCGCGGUAAUACGAAGGGGGCAAGCGUUGUUCGGAAUUACUGGGCGUAAAGGGCGCGUAGGCGGUGCACUAAGUCAGGCGUGAAAGCCCUGGGCUCAACCCGGGAAUUGCGCUUGAUACUGGUGCGCUUGAAUCCAGGAGAGGUUGGUGGAAUUCCCAGUGUAGAGGUGAAAUUCGUAGAGAUUGGGAAGAACACCGGUGGCGAAGGCGGCCAACUGGACUGGUAUUGACGCUGAGGCGCGAAAGCGUGGGGAGCAAACAGGAUUAGAUACCCUGGUAGUCCACGCUGUAAACGAUGUGUGCUAGCCGUUGGGGUUCUUAGAACCUCGGUGGCGUCGCUAACGCUUUAAGCACACCGCCUGGGGAGUACGGUCGCAAGAUUAAAACUCAAAGGAAUUGACG
RNAcentral lists this ribosomal RNA (590 nucleotides) under uncultured Alphaproteobacteria bacterium. RNAcentral's name for it is "SSU rRNA". It matches the Rfam family "Bacterial small subunit ribosomal RNA", at positions 308 to 915 of the family's 1533-position model. Lineage: Bacteria; Pseudomonadati; Pseudomonadota; Alphaproteobacteria. The record is from RNAcentral.